Molecule: long non-coding RNA, 221 nt
Filed under: Trifolium pratense (red clover)
Lineage: Eukaryota; Viridiplantae; Streptophyta; Magnoliopsida; Fabales; Fabaceae
Description: long non-coding RNA (TPRA_LNC012931)
Source: RNAcentral
CGGAAGGUUGCUGGGGGGUCAUGAAACCCAUUUCGGGACUGUUCACCACCGCCGGCAUCGCCACGGUGGUUGUUUGUCCCUUCUACUUAAUUUGCGUCAGAGGUUUGCUGGUGCAGGUGAGCUUCUUUCAUGGGUGGAGUUGAUUUUAUUAAAUCUAAUUCAAAGUGUUUGUUUAGAGGCACAACAAAUUGGAUGGGGUUUCAGUUUGGUGUGUUUGUGUU